CUUAAUUUAAUAGUAAAUUAUACAAGUAAUGUAAAUACAGAACACACAAAAUGAUAUAACCCUUAAAAUUUAACUGAAAAUGUUACGCUGGCGGUACAACCUCCCAAAGGUUCAUAAUCACAACAGAUAAUUCUUUGAAAAUGUUACGCUGGCGGUACAAACUCUCAGAGGAUCAUAAACACAAUGACAGAUAAUUGUUUAAAAAUGUUACGCCGGCGGUACAAACUUCCAGAAAUGCAUAAUCACACAGAAAAAAUCACACUGAAAAAAAGGAAGGUAAACCACUUUUAAAUGUAUAAGUUCUUAAAUUAUUAGCAAAUUAUAAAACAAGUCAUAACAAGGGCUGUUUGUAAAACAUGCAUGCCCCCCAUAUGGGCUCUCCGUUGUAGUGACAGCCAUUGUGUGAAUAUGUUUUUUGUAACUGUGACCUUGACCUUUGACCUAGUGACCUGAAAAUCAAUAGGGGUCAUUUGCAAGUCAUGAUCAAUGUACUUAUGAAGUUUCAUGAUCCUAGCCAUAAGCGUUCUUGAUUUAUCAUCCGGACACCAUUUUACUAUUUCGGGUCA
This is a long non-coding RNA of Dreissena polymorpha, 566 nucleotides long. RefSeq lists it as uncharacterized. NCBI's taxonomy places the organism in Eukaryota, Metazoa, Mollusca, Bivalvia, Myida, Dreissenidae. The record is from RefSeq and is a predicted model, not a curated record. The transcript has 2 exons.